RNAcentral lists this ribosomal RNA (385 nucleotides) under Bacillus sp. '10.5 MW-7'. Its description in RNAcentral is "bacterial SSU rRNA". It matches the Rfam family "Bacterial small subunit ribosomal RNA", at positions 61 to 433 of the family's 1533-position model. The record is from RNAcentral. Lineage: Bacteria; Bacillati; Bacillota; Bacilli; Caryophanales; Bacillaceae.
GUCGAGCGGGAUGACNGAGGAGCUUGCUCCUCCUGAUUCAGCGGCGGACGGGUGAGUAACACGUGGGCAACCUGCCCUGUAGAUUGGGAUAACUCCGGGAAACCGGGGCUAAUACCGAAUAAUCCUUCGGACCUCAUGGUCCGAUGUUGAAAGACGGUUUCGGCUGUCACUACAGGAUGGGCCCGCGGCGCAUUAGCUAGUUGGUGAGGUAACGGCUCACCAAGGCCACGAUGCGUAGCCGACCUGAGAGGGUGAUCGGCCACACUGGGACUGAGACACGGCCCAGACUCCUACGGGAGGCAGCAGUAGGGAAUCUUCCACAAUGGACGAAAGUCUGAUGGAGCAACGCCGCGUGAGUGAAGAAGGUUCUCGGAUCGUAAAACUU